UGGAGAGUCGUCUAAUGGUAGGACAGCUGACUCUGGAUCAGCCGGUGGGGGUUCGAAUCCUCCCUCUCCAGCCA
RNAcentral lists this transfer RNA (74 nucleotides) under bacterium. RNAcentral's name for it is "tRNA-Gln". It matches the Rfam family "tRNA". From Rfam's summary of the family: Transfer RNA (tRNA) molecules are approximately 80 nucleotides in length. Their secondary structure includes four short double-helical elements and three loops (D, anti-codon, and T loops). RNAcentral also lists the same sequence under 1 other name. The record is from RNAcentral.